This 144-nucleotide ribosomal RNA is filed under the name Campylobacter jejuni. Its description in RNAcentral is "partial 16S ribosomal RNA". It matches the Rfam family "Bacterial small subunit ribosomal RNA", at positions 527 to 670 of the family's 1533-position model. Lineage: Bacteria; Pseudomonadati; Campylobacterota; Epsilonproteobacteria; Campylobacterales; Campylobacteraceae. The record is from RNAcentral.
GUAGGUGGCAAGCGUUGUCCGGAAUUAUUGGGUGUAAAGGGAGCGCAGGCGGGAAGCCAAGUCAGCUGUGAAAACUACGGGCUUAACUUGUAGACUGCAGUUGAAACUGGUUUUCUUGAGUGAUGUUGAGGUUGGUGGAAUUGG